This is a long non-coding RNA of Oncorhynchus tshawytscha (Chinook salmon), 658 nucleotides long. Lineage: Eukaryota; Metazoa; Chordata; Actinopteri; Salmoniformes; Salmonidae. The record is from Ensembl.
GGAAUUGCUAAAAUGUGCUUAAGUAAAAGUUAAAGUAUGAAUCAUUUCAACUUCCCUAUACAAAGCAAACCAGAUGACACAAUUAUUAUUAUUAUUUUUCUGAUGGAUAGCCAGGGGCAACACUCCAGCACUCAGACAGAAUUUACAACGAAGCAUGUGUGUUUAGUGAGUCUACCAGAUCAGAGGCAGUAGGGAUGGCCAGGUAUGUUCUCUGUUUAGUGAGUCCACCAGAUCAGAGGCAGUAGUGAUGACCAGGUAUGUUCUCUGUUUAGUGAGUCCACCAGAUCAGAGGCAGUAGUGAUGACCAGGUAUGUUCUCUGUUUAGUGAGUCCACCAGAUCAGAGGCAGUAGUGAUGACCAGGUAUGUUCUCUGUUUAGUGAGUCCACCAGAUCAGAGGCAGUUGGGAUGACCAGGGAUGGUUCUCUUGAUAAGUGUGUGAAUUGGACCAUUUUCCUGCCAAAAUGUAACGAGUACUUUUGGGUGUCAGGGAAAAUGUAUGAAGUAAAACGUGCAUUAUUUUUUUUAAGAAUGUAGAGUGAAGUAAAAGUAGACAAAAAUAUAAAUAGUGAAGUAAAGUACAGAUACCCCCCAAAAAUUACUUAUGUAGUACUUAAGUACUUUACAUCACUGAUUGUCUACGAUAAGGGGAAUGUAGAC